AUACCAUGUUGUAGGCACUUCCCCAACAUAUCCUUAUACCUCUCCCAAGUGUCAUACAAGGUUUCUGAUUCCAACUGCUUAUAAGAUGAAAUGUCGCUUCAGAGCAU
Molecule: small nucleolar RNA, 107 nt
Organism: Dioscorea cayenensis subsp. rotundata (Guinea yam)
Lineage: Eukaryota; Viridiplantae; Streptophyta; Magnoliopsida; Dioscoreales; Dioscoreaceae
Source: RefSeq, a predicted model, not a curated record